This 620-nucleotide ribosomal RNA is filed under the name uncultured bacterium. Its description in RNAcentral is "bacterial SSU rRNA". The stretch from base 1 to 523 matches the Rfam family "Bacterial small subunit ribosomal RNA", at positions 338 to 873 of the family's 1533-position model. The record is from RNAcentral.
CCUACGGGAGGCAGCAGUGAGGAAUUUUCCGCAAUGGGCGAAAGCCUGACGGAGCAAUGCCGCGUGGAGGAGGAAGGCCUGUGGGUCGUAAACUCCUUUUCUCAGAGAAGAAGUUCUGACGGUAUCUGAGGAAUAAGCAUCGGCUAACUCUGUGCCAGCAGCCGCGGUAAUACAGGGGAUGCAAGCGUUAUCCGGAAUUAUUGGGCGUAAAGCGUCCUGAGGUGGCUUACCCAGUCGACUGUGAAAGCUCAAGGCUUAACCUUGAAACGGCAGUCGAAACUUGUAAGCUUGAGUACGGUAGGGGCAGAGGGAAUUCCCGGAGGAGAGGUGAAAUUCGUAGAUAUCGGGAGGAAGGCCAAAGGCGAAAGCACUCUGCUGGGCCGAUUACUGACACUGACAGACGAAAGCUAGGGGAGCGAAAGGGAUUAGAUACCCCUGUAGUCCUAGCCGUAAACGAUGGAUACUAAGUGUUGCGCGACUCAAAACGUGCAGUGNUGCAGCUACGACGGUAAGUACGUCCGCCGUGGGUAGGUAGUGCCGCCGAGGGUAGGAACGUACGAAAGGUAAGUUAGUACGGUUCGUUGUAGACGUUAGCCGACGGACGACGACGAGGGAGGAGG